This 2061-nucleotide long non-coding RNA is filed under the name Nicotiana tabacum (common tobacco). RNAcentral describes it as "long non-coding RNA (NTAB_LNC017746)". Lineage: Eukaryota; Viridiplantae; Streptophyta; Magnoliopsida; Solanales; Solanaceae. The record is from RNAcentral.
UUUAUUAAAAUUCAUGAAAAUUCAUGCUCAAUCAAACUAUCUCGGGUACAUGUUUUGGUUUUAUAGGGGUACACACACCACUUUUUUUUAAGGCCUAAAUCCGACGAGCUUUUCUCUUCCGGUUACUCUCUCACACCACCGGCUACUGCUCAUCUCUCAUCCCUUCUCCACGCCAUCGCUGCCGUAGACGAAGUCGCCGGAGGUGGCUGACCUCCAUUAACGUCGUCCAUCACCCUUGCUGCCUCUGGCUUCGUCUCUUUCUCAUCGCCAUUUUCUUCUUCUUUCUCAUCUCUGUCGCUUGUCUUUGGCCAGAUAUUAACGAGAUCUGGUAGGUUUGAUCAGAAAUACAAACGCCGGCGAUGUUUUCCUUGAGGUUAGGCGUUAUUCCGGGGGUCGCCGUCGAAGUAACGCCAACAACAACUGCGGUCGUUCGUCUGGCCGGAAAUUGCGUCCCUCGCCGGCGAUGUCGCUGUUGUUGUCGGAUUCUCGUUUUUGUGAGAUAGGGAUGGUUUAAUGUUGUUUUACCUGUGAUUGAUCUUAUGUCUUCAUUUUUGGCAACUGAGUGUGACCUAUAAUUUUGUGUUUUUGUUCGAUACUGCCAUUCUUGGUUGCUGCUCUUCUCCAUCUCAGUGAUACUAACACUUUUGGCUUGGGAUUUGACGUUUGACUUCUCCGGUGACACCUUUGGUCUUGCUUUGAUACUUUCAUCCAGUACUUGGAUAUGAGUAUUACGAUUUGGUGGGUUCAUUCUUUGAGUUAGGAUAUUAUUAAUACUGUUAAUUUGCUCGAGUCCCUGGCAGUUGAUACAUCGUGACUUGGUUCCUUCACAAAUUUGCACAUUUGAUUAUGAUGUUGGUACUUUGGCGUAUGAAUCUGCUGUGUGUUUAUGUCAUAUCUCCGUUGCACCAUUUUGGAUAUUGCUAAAUUUUGAAAUUUGCAGGAGGAUCUGUUUGCUUGUAAAAUAUUUUUGGUAUUGUUACUGUCCGUGUCUGUCAAUUGAGCACGAUGUUGGUAUUGAACAAAAUACUAUACUAGGGCCGAUGAGAAUAAUAUUUUGAGGUCACGAUGCCCCGAAUGAUCCUCUGGACUUGGCUCGAAAUAACGAGGCGAUGAUGAUAAACAUUGGAAACGAAAAAAGAUGAGAACAUGAACCAACAACAAUCUAUGGGAGGCGACACGAUUGGCCACUGGAGUUGCUACCGAGGUGGUUCCCGUUCUCAUGUCUAGACGAAUAUCGUAUAUUACAUGUAAUUGAGCCUCAUAUAUUAUUUUUAAACUAUUUUUUAAAAUUAUAUUCCAAAACUAUUUUCCAAAAACCUUUUCUAAAAACAUCUUCCAAACAUUUUCAAAAGAAAUAUUUUUCCAAAAUAUAUUUACUUUAGUUUAAAUUUAUAUUAUAUUAUUUCACUAAUGCAUUUGUCUUCUUCAUUUGCGAGGUACCCUAUUCAGUUAUACUUUGGAAAGAUGACGCUCGGAGACAAAGAUGAACUUCGUCAAAAUUCCCCACUUCGUGACUUCCCUUUUCGGAUGUACCCAAAACGGAAAGAAUAGUGAAAACAUAGAUAUAUGUCGUAUUGCUUGCUGAUAUUGCUUAUUUGCUAAACAUUUAGGGAAUUGCAUCUAGUUAAUAAUCGGAGUAACUUGCAAUAUUGUGCGUUAAAUAACUCUUGAAGUGUGUAUAGGAUGUUAAACAUAUUUUAUGAUGUGAUUAAUUAAUUUAGGACCAGCGUAUACCUAACUAAUUAGAUUAAUCAUAUCCAAAAAUGUUCUUGCGAAAAAAUAAAAUAAAUAAUUUUGUCUUUGUCUUCAAAUUAUAUGAAUAUCUUUUCGAACCACUUUAUGUAUAAAAUUGUUCUUUAAUUGACACAUCUGAAGUAGGGAAAUGUAGUUGGACUAUCAUACUAUUUUUUGAGAAACUUAGACCUUGUAGUCAUUCGGGUUUGGCUCACAUAAUUGUGUUCCAAGACCAUGACUCUGAAAAUGAUCUUUUGUUACUCAUCAAAUGAUAAUUCAUUAUUAGCACAAAUCUUUUUUUUUGCAUUGAUACAAUAAUUGUUUAUG